GCCCAGAUCCCUACGGGAGGCAGCAGUAGGGAUCUUCGGCAAUGGGGGCAACCCUGACCGAGCAACGCCGCGUGAGUGAAGAAGGUUUUCGGAUCGUAAAACUCUGUUGUUAGAGAAGAACGUUAAGUAGAGUGGAAAAUUACUUAAGUGACGGUAUCUAACCAGAAAGGGACGGCUAACUACGUGCCAGCAGCCGCGGUAAUACGUAGGUCCCAAGCGUUGUCCGGAUUUAUUGGGCGUAAAGCGAGCGCAGGUGGUUUCUUAAGUCUGAUGUAAAAGGCAGUGGCUCAACCAUUGUGUGCAUUGGAAACUGGGAGACUUGAGUGCAGGAGAGGAGAGUGGAAUUCCAUGUGUAGCGGUGAAAUGCGUAGAUAUAUGGAGGAACACCGGAGGCGAAAGCGGCUCUCUGGCCUGUAACUGACACUGAGGCUCGAAAGCGUGGGGAGCAAACAGGAUUAGAUACCCUGGUAGUCCACGCCGUAAACGAUGAGUGCUAGCUGUAGGGAGCUAUAAGUUCUCUGUAGCGCAGCUAACGCAUUAAGCACUCCGCCUGGGGAGUACGACCGCAAGGUUGAAACUCAAAGGAAUUGACGGGGGCCCGCACAAGCGGUGGAGCAUGUGGUUUAAUUCGAAGCAACGCGAAGAACCUUACCAGGUCUUGACAUACUCGUGCUAUCCUUAGAGAUAAGGAGUUCCUUCGGGACACGGGAUACAGGUGGUGCAUGGUUGUCGUCAGCUCGUGUCGUGAGAUGUUGGGUUAAGUCCCGCAACGAGCGCAACCCUUAUUACUAGUUGCCAUCAUUAAGUUGGGCACUCUAGUGAGACUGCCGGUGAUAAACCGGAGGAAGGUGGGGAUGACGUCAAAUCAUCAUGCCCCUUAUGACCUGGGCUACACACGUGCUACAAUGGAUGGUACAACGAGUCGCCAACCCGCGAGGGUGCGCUAAUCUCUUAAAACCAUUCUCAGUUCGGAUUGCAGGCUGCAACUCGCCUGCAUGAAGUCGGAAUCGCUAGUAAUCGCGGAUCAGCACGCCGCGGUGAAUACGUUCCCGGGCCUUGUACACACCGCCCGUCACACCACGGAAGUUGGGAGUACCCAAAGUAGGUUGCCUAACCGCAAGGAGGGCGCUCCCUAAGUAG
This 1140-nucleotide ribosomal RNA is filed under the name Streptococcus uberis. Its description in RNAcentral is "bacterial SSU rRNA". It matches the Rfam family "Bacterial small subunit ribosomal RNA", at positions 329 to 1464 of the family's 1533-position model. Lineage: Bacteria; Bacillati; Bacillota; Bacilli; Lactobacillales; Streptococcaceae. The record is from RNAcentral.